This 1364-nucleotide ribosomal RNA is filed under the name Lactiplantibacillus plantarum. Its description in RNAcentral is "bacterial SSU rRNA". It matches the Rfam family "Bacterial small subunit ribosomal RNA", at positions 73 to 1413 of the family's 1533-position model. Lineage: Bacteria; Bacillati; Bacillota; Bacilli; Lactobacillales; Lactobacillaceae. The record is from RNAcentral.
UUGGUGCUUGCAUCAUGAUUUACAUUUGAGUGAGUGGCGAACUGGUGAGUAACACGUGGGAAACCUGCCCAGAAGCGGGGGAUAACACCUGGAAACAGAUGCUAAUACCGCAUAACAACUUGGACCGCAUGGUCCGAGCUUGAAAGAUGGCUUCGGCUAUCACUUUUGGAUGGUCCCGCGGCGUAUUAGCUAGAUGGUGGGGUAACGGCUCACCAUGGCAAUGAUACGUAGCCGACCUGAGAGGGUAAUCGGCCACAUUGGGACUGAGACACGGCCCAAACUCCUACGGGAGGCAGCAGUAGGGAAUCUUCCACAAUGGACGAAAGUCUGAUGGAGCAACGCCGCGUGAGUGAAGAAGGGUUUCGGCUCGUAAAACUCUGUUGUUAAAGAAGAACAUAUCUGAGAGUAACUGUUCAGGUAUUGACGGUAUUUAACCAGAAAGCCACGGCUAACUACGUGCCAGCAGCCGCGGUAAUACGUAGGUGGCAAGCGUUGUCCGGAUUUAUUGGGCGUAAAGCGAGCGCAGGCGGUUUUUUAAGUCUGAUGUGAAAGCCUUCGGCUCAACCGAAGAAGUGCAUCGGAAACUGGGAAACUUGAGUGCAGAAGAGGACAGUGGAACUCCAUGUGUAGCGGUGAAAUGCGUAGAUAUAUGGAAGAACACCAGUGGCGAAGGCGGCUGUCUGGUCUGUAACUGACGCUGAGGCUCGAAAGUAUGGGUAGCAAACAGGAUUAGAUACCCUGGUAGUCCAUACCGUAAACGAUGAAUGCUAAGUGUUGGAGGGUUUCCGCCCUUCAGUGCUGCAGCUAACGCAUUAAGCAUUCCGCCUGGGGAGUACGGCCGCAAGGCUGAAACUCAAAGGAAUUGACGGGGGCCCGCACAAGCGGUGGAGCAUGUGGUUUAAUUCGAAGCUACGCGAAGAACCUUACCAGGUCUUGACAUACUAUGCAAAUCUAAGAGAUUAGACGUUCCCUUCGGGGACAUGGAUACAGGUGGUGCAUGGUUGUCGUCAGCUCGUGUCGUGAGAUGUUGGGUUAAGUCCCGCAACGAGCGCAACCCUUAUUAUCAGUUGCCAGCAUUAAGUUGGGCACUCUGGUGAGACUGCCGGUGACAAACCGGAGGAAGGUGGGGAUGACGUCAAAUCAUCAUGCCCCUUAUGACCUGGGCUACACACGUGCUACAAUGGAUGGUACAACGAGUUGCGAACUCGCGAGAGUAAGCUAAUCUCUUAAAGCCAUUCUCAGUUCGGAUUGUAGGCUGCAACUCGCCUACAUGAAGUCGGAAUCGCUAGUAAUCGCGGAUCAGCAUGCCGCGGUGAAUACGUUCCCGGGCCUUGUACACACCGCCCGUCACACCAUGAGAGUUU